GCUCUGUUAGCACAGUGGUUAGUGCGUGUGUUUUGUAAACACAAGGUCGUCGGUUCAAAUCCGACACGGAGCU
Molecule: transfer RNA, 73 nt
Filed under: Klebsormidium nitens
Lineage: Eukaryota; Viridiplantae; Streptophyta; Klebsormidiophyceae; Klebsormidiales; Klebsormidiaceae
Description: tRNA-Thr (TGT) (tRNA-Thr-TGT-2-1)
Rfam family: tRNA
About the family: Transfer RNA (tRNA) molecules are approximately 80 nucleotides in length. Their secondary structure includes four short double-helical elements and three loops (D, anti-codon, and T loops).
Source: Rfam by way of RNAcentral